AUUGAACGCUGGCGGCAGGCCUAACACAUGCAAGUCGAGCGUAGCGGCUGACGGGUGAGUAAUGACUAGGCAUCUGCCUGGUAGUGGGGGAUAACGUCCGGAAACGGGCGCUUAUCCUUCAUACUAUUAGCUGUGCCUAGGUCGGAUUAGCUAGUUGGUGGGGUAAAGGCCUACAACGGCGACGAUCCGGAACUGGUCUGAGAGGAUGAUCAGUCAGACUGGAACGGAGACACGGUCCAGACGCCUACGGGAGGCAGCAGUGGGGAAUAUUGGACAAUGGGCGAAAGCCGGAUCCAGCCAUGCAGCGUGUGUGAAGAAGGUCUUCGGAUUGUAAAGCACUUUAAGUUGGGAGGCGUUACCAACAGAAUAAGCACCGGCUAACUUCGUGCCAGCAGCCGCGGUAAUAC
RNAcentral lists this ribosomal RNA (407 nucleotides) under uncultured bacterium. RNAcentral describes it as "partial 16S ribosomal RNA". It matches the Rfam family "Bacterial small subunit ribosomal RNA", at positions 30 to 526 of the family's 1533-position model. The record is from RNAcentral.